This is a non-coding RNA of Rattus norvegicus (Norway rat), 63 nucleotides long. NCBI's taxonomy places the organism in Eukaryota, Metazoa, Chordata, Mammalia, Rodentia, Muridae. The record is from Rfam.
GGGGAUUUAGCUCAGUGGUAGAGCGCUUGCCUAGCAAAUGCAAGGCCCUGGGUUCAGUCCCCA